RNAcentral lists this long non-coding RNA (245 nucleotides) under Gossypium barbadense (sea-island cotton). RNAcentral's name for it is "long non-coding RNA (GBAR_LNC019434)". The record is from RNAcentral. Lineage: Eukaryota; Viridiplantae; Streptophyta; Magnoliopsida; Malvales; Malvaceae.
CCUACGAGCUUCUUGGAAGAUGAACGUUUAGGGGCAAAAGUGGGGAUUUUUGCAGGGUCAACAUUGGGGAAAGCGCAUUGGGAACAAAGGUAACGAGAGGUGCAAGGGAACCAGGAGAGGCUGCUCCCAGUGUCCAUAAUGAAAGGAAGGGUUUGAGGCGGAGUUCCAAAUUUGAGGGAGAUAGUGUAGCCCCCAUAACUGUGAGGAAAUAGGGAAGCCCUGAGAAGAGAAGAGGUAGUAUUAUC